UUAACUCAAAUUUGUAUGCAGUUGGAACAGCGCCCCUAGCGACAAACGUAGGCGAACGUUCCAACUCCAUACAAACUUGAGUUA
RNAcentral lists this microRNA precursor (84 nucleotides) under Bombyx mori (domestic silkworm). RNAcentral's name for it is "mir-2807 microRNA precursor family". It matches the Rfam family "mir-2807 microRNA precursor family". Lineage: Eukaryota; Metazoa; Arthropoda; Insecta; Lepidoptera; Bombycidae. The record is from Rfam by way of RNAcentral.